GACGAACGCUGGCGGCGUGCUUAACACAUGCAAGUCGAGCGGUAAGGCCCUUUCGGGGGUACACGAGCGGCGAACGGGUGAGUAACACGUGGGUGACCUGCCCUCAGCUCUGGGAUAAGCCUGGGAAACCGGGUCUAAUACCGGAUAUGACUCCAUGACGCAUGUUGUGGGGUGGAAAGCCUUGUGCGGCUGAGGAUGGGCCCGCGGCCUAUCAGCUUGUUGGUGGGGUGAUGGCCUACCAAGGCGACGACGGGUAGCCGGCCUGAGAGGGCGACC
Molecule: ribosomal RNA, 276 nt
Filed under: uncultured bacterium
Lineage: Bacteria
Description: partial 16S ribosomal RNA
Rfam family: Bacterial small subunit ribosomal RNA
Source: RNAcentral